Molecule: transfer RNA, 76 nt
Filed under: Heliobacterium chlorum
Lineage: Bacteria; Bacillati; Bacillota; Clostridia; Eubacteriales; Heliobacteriaceae
Also listed under: 2 other names
Description: tRNA-Met
Rfam family: tRNA
About the family: Transfer RNA (tRNA) molecules are approximately 80 nucleotides in length. Their secondary structure includes four short double-helical elements and three loops (D, anti-codon, and T loops). Further hydrogen bonds mediate the characteristic L-shaped molecular structure. tRNAs have two regions of fundamental functional importance: the anti-codon, which is responsible for specific mRNA codon recognition, and the 3' end, to which the tRNAs corresponding amino acid is attached (by aminoacyl-tRNA synthetases). tRNAs cope with the degeneracy of the genetic code in two manners: having more than one tRNA (with a specific anti-codon) for a particular amino acid; and 'wobble' base-pairing, i.e. permitting non-standard base-pairing at the 3rd anti-codon position.
Source: RNAcentral
CGCGGGAUGGAGCAGUUGGUAGCUCGUCGGGCUCAUAACCCGAAGGUCGCAGGUUCGAGUCCUGCUCCCGCAACCA